Molecule: long non-coding RNA, 232 nt
Organism: Culex quinquefasciatus (southern house mosquito)
Lineage: Eukaryota; Metazoa; Arthropoda; Insecta; Diptera; Culicidae
Exons: 2
Source: RefSeq, a predicted model, not a curated record
CUUUCUAUAUUCAAUUUGAAAUAAUCUAAAACAUAAAAAAUAUUCUAGACUAAGCAAAUUCAAGUUAACCCAACGCAAGGGAAACUUUCAACAUGCAGUGAGAGUGAGUGCCCGAGAUCACAAACGAGCGAACGCGAGAGGUGAAAAGAAGGAACGAGUGAAACAGCCAAGCGAGGAAGGGUGAUAAAGUGAUUGCGAUUUAUUUUACGAUUUUAAUAAACUUUAGAUUUAU